This 27-nucleotide non-coding RNA is filed under the name Cricetulus griseus (Chinese hamster). Lineage: Eukaryota; Metazoa; Chordata; Mammalia; Rodentia; Cricetidae. The record is from RNAcentral.
UGGGUACGAAGGACGAGAUGAAUAAAC